GGGAGGCAGCAGUGGGGAAUUUUGGACAAUGGGGGCAACCCUGAUCCAGCCAUGCCGCGUGAGUGAAGAAGGCCUUCGGGUUGUAAAGCUCUUUCAGCCGGGAAGAAAACGCACGCUCUAACAUAGCGUGUGGAUGACGGUACCGGACCAAGAAGCACCGGCUAACUACGUGCCAGCAGCCGCGGUAAUACGUAGGGUGCGAGCGUUAAUCGGAAUUACUGGGCGUAAAGCGUGCGCAGGCGGUUUUGUAAGACAGAUGUGAAAUCCCCGGGCUUAACCUGGGAACUGCGUUUGUGACUGCAGGGCUAGAGUACGGCAGAGGGGGGUGGAAUUCCGCGUGUAGCAGUGAUAUGCGUAGAUAUGCGGAGGAACACCGAUGGCGAAGGCAAUCCCCUGGACCUGUACUGACGCUCAUGCACGAAAGCGUGGGGAGCAAACAGGAUUAGAUACCC
RNAcentral lists this ribosomal RNA (452 nucleotides) under uncultured bacterium. Its description in RNAcentral is "bacterial SSU rRNA". It matches the Rfam family "Bacterial small subunit ribosomal RNA", at positions 343 to 787 of the family's 1533-position model. The record is from RNAcentral.